GUUGAGGUCUACCCCAAUAGGGCUUUUUCUAUAAAACCUACAUUGUUGGAAAUGCCUCAGUAAUUAUGUAGUUUCCAUUACUCAUAGAACUACCUGUUAGAUCUGUGUGAAUGAACUACAAGAAAAAG
Molecule: small nucleolar RNA, 128 nt
Organism: Capra hircus (goat)
Lineage: Eukaryota; Metazoa; Chordata; Mammalia; Artiodactyla; Bovidae
Source: Ensembl